UGCACUUCACUACGUCAGUACAAUUAUCAUAAACAAGAGAGAAGCAGCAGUGAAGACGACAUGCAGCCUCAGACAACCUCCAUGCUGCUGUGCCCAUUGUCAGCCACUGGGUCGGAUUUGGAGGGAGAUCUGUUGGACAGAAAACAGUUGCUGGAAGCUGUUCAUCCAGACAAAAAGGCUCAGGCUUUCAGAAUUUCUGAUGACGGCAGAUUUUGGAAGGAGUGAAACAGCCUUCAACCUUCAACGUGUUUAUUCUCUUCAGAGAGGACUAGGACUUAGCAGUAGUAGAUAACAGUCUACUCUGAAUCAAAAUGUCUUUUGUUUGACAAAACGGUCCUACUGUAACUUUCAACAGCAUCUCACAGUCUUCCUCAGUGGAUGGAGUUUGCACAGUUGUCAUGGAGAUACCUCAGUUGCACCUUAGUAUGGAACUUGAUGAUAUAUGAUUUACGAUGCUGUUUUAUCAUAACACCCAGCAGUGGGUUUCAGGCUGUGGCGUCAUAAAUCUGCUGAGCCCUCUUACAUUUAAACUGCCUUUGAAUCCAACACUCACCCAAGCAAAGAGCAGAUACUCUGCGGCUUGACUCGGCAUUAUAUCUACAUUGUAUCUGCUUGGGCUAAACUAGGUAGUAGGAUCCAGAAAUGCUUGAAAGGCUUUCAUCUGAUCUUUUUUUCCCUUUCAAGACUGUGAAAGAACCAAAAAAGCAUCUGACCUUCAGACCAACUAAACGCAAAUAAAAUGAGUCCAAGUGAUCGACAGUGUGCAGGAUUUUGUGAUCCUGUCAGAACCAGUCAGUAUUGACCCGACACACCUGUUCAUAUGACACUCUGGUGUGCAAGUGCUUUGUUGUAGGCUAAUUAUUCCCUUUCAAGGCUGAAAUUACACAAUUUGGUCAACUGGUGUCUCACAGAAGUUACAUUAAACAGUGUAAGUUCCCUGAUAUGUCAAAUCCUGAGCGGUUAGCCAUCGAACAGAUAUAUUUAGGCACAGUCUAGACUCAGCUGCAUUGCAGUACAGAUUUUAUUUCCCAGGUAAAGCAGUCUUAAAUCUGCUGGGAAGAGCUCUCACACAGUGGAUGGGAAAAGCCUGAAAUGACAAUUUACAGCCUUUCAGUACAUCAAACGCCUCGAUCGUCUUCAGUGAUCGUUUUUAUUAGUACAAGCUUCUGUCAGCUGCAGAAGUCAUGGCCGUCCUGGCCCUGAUUGUGACGUAUGGAGAUGGAACUGUCAGCCUGAAAGCCUCUCUUUGUUACUGUCCCGCUGUCUGAGUGAUGACUGCUAAACAUCAGCUCUACUGUAACUGGAGGAUAAUUGAGUGAAACGGAAAGCAGUGAUGAUUUGGUUAAAUGGCACACAGCUGAGAGAAACAAUACAGCACUGAAAGACCAAACCACAAUGAUACUGCAGACUGUCUGAGAUCUCCAGAGAGAAGAGACUUCUUCUUGGAUUCGACAUUUGAUUCACUUGCACAAAGUCAAGGAGAAGCUCGGCUAACCUGGGGUUUGUUUACAACCUGUGUGAUCGUGUGACUCCUUCCGAGAGAUGUCACCUUGUUCCCAGGGCUCAGCAAUUAACUUGGCCAAAGACAGAAAUAGGAGGACAAUCAUGCAGCUUUAUAGGACUGAGGUAAGGCUGGUGUGAUAUUUUUCUUCUUGUC
Long non-coding RNA from Siniperca chuatsi (mandarin fish), 1657 nucleotides. RefSeq lists it as uncharacterized. The record is from RefSeq and is a predicted model, not a curated record. The transcript has 4 exons. Lineage: Eukaryota; Metazoa; Chordata; Actinopteri; Centrarchiformes; Sinipercidae.